This 164-nucleotide ribosomal RNA is filed under the name Aconitum pendulum. RNAcentral's name for it is "5.8S ribosomal RNA". It matches the Rfam family "5.8S ribosomal RNA". Rfam says of the family: 5.8S ribosomal RNA (5.8S rRNA) is a component of the large subunit of the eukaryotic ribosome. It is transcribed by RNA polymerase I as part of the 45S precursor that also contains 18S and 28S rRNA. Lineage: Eukaryota; Viridiplantae; Streptophyta; Magnoliopsida; Ranunculales; Ranunculaceae. The record is from RNAcentral.
UCAAACGACUCUCGGCAACGGAUAUCUCGGCUCUUGCAUCGAUGAAGAACGUAGCGAAAUGCGAUACUUGGUGUGAAUUGCAGAAUCCCGUGAACCAUCGAGUCUUUGAACGCAAGUUGCGCCCGAGGCCAUUAGGUCGAGGGCACGCCUGCCUGGGCGUCACA